GACGAACGCUGGCGGCGUGCUUAACACAUGCAAGUCGAACGGAAAGGCCCUGCUUUUGUGGGGUACUCGAGUGGCGAACGGGUGAGUAACACGUGAGUAACCUGCCCUUGACUUUGGGAUAACUUCAGGAAACUGGGGCUAAUACCGGAUAGGAGCUCCUGCUGAAUGGUGGGGGUUGGAAAGUUUCGGCGGUUGGGGAUGGACUCGCGGCUUAUCAGCUUGUUGGUGGGGUAGUGGCUUACCAAGGCGUUGACGGGUAGCCGGCCUGAGAGGGUGACCGGCCACACUGGGACUGAGAUACGGCCCAGACUCCUACGGGAGGCAGCAGUGGGGAAUAUUGCACAAUGGGCGGACGCCUGAUGCAGAAACGCCGCGUGCGGGAUGACGGCCUUCGGGUUGUAAACCGCUUUCGCCUGUGACGAAGCGUGAGUGACGGUAAUGGGUAAAGAAGCACCGGCUAACUACGUG
This 468-nucleotide ribosomal RNA is filed under the name uncultured bacterium. Its description in RNAcentral is "partial 16S ribosomal RNA". It matches the Rfam family "Bacterial small subunit ribosomal RNA", at positions 28 to 507 of the family's 1533-position model. The record is from RNAcentral.